CCAUUUACAGGAGUACUCAACAUUACCUCCGAUCCUCAGCAACGAUGGCCAAGUACACGAGAAACAGUUUCCAAGGGUUUGUGCUACUUUGUUUCAUUCUGGUGAUGUGUUUUGCCUGUCUUGGACGCGAACAUGGUGAAGGCACAAACAACAAGGAAAUCAACAGGAAGAUCGAAGUAAGCCACGUAGUCCGCCCCCCUUGUUACAAGAACGUGCACCAGGUCCCAGGCCAACCAUUCUGCUGUAAAAAGGAUAGGCUGUGCUGGCCGAAUCUCGGAGAAUGCUUCAUAAACUGCCCGUGCAAGAUUAGAUGCCUACGACCAGCAGCAACACACUAGUUUUAUCAUCUCCUUCUUGUGUGGAUAAAUAUAAACCUUACGGGUCUCUAAAUAAGGACGUGUUGAUCUAUGAUGGACACACAAAAAUAUGGAAUCUAAUCUUUCUCUACUCUUCA
Hordeum vulgare subsp. vulgare (domesticated barley) is the source of this 454-nucleotide long non-coding RNA. RefSeq lists it as uncharacterized. The record is from RefSeq and is a predicted model, not a curated record. The transcript is spliced from 2 exons. NCBI's taxonomy places the organism in Eukaryota, Viridiplantae, Streptophyta, Magnoliopsida, Poales, Poaceae.